ACAGUGAUGUGCCUCUUUGCUUUGACACACGCUCUUCUUGCUGCCCUGAAAGGCCUUGGCCGCCUUUCCACCUGUUUCUACUUGCCCUGUAGAGCAGUUGCCUCCUGUUGGUCCACCCUACUGGAAGUCUGAGCUGGGCAGAGAAGCACCAAAAGUGGAGCUGGAGGAGCAAACAGAAUAUCCAGCACACUGCAGAAAGCUGAGAUUGGUAUUCUUCUACCGCAUGGCUACUCCUGCCACCAAGGGGAACACAGAGUAAAGUGACAACACUAAUUCAGGCUCCAUCAUGGUGACCAGGGAUUAGAAAAUAACCGCAAAGAGGCUCUGGAGAAUUUGGGAAGG
Long non-coding RNA from Homo sapiens (human), 342 nucleotides. RefSeq lists it as uncharacterized. Lineage: Eukaryota; Metazoa; Chordata; Mammalia; Primates; Hominidae. The record is from RefSeq and is a predicted model, not a curated record. The transcript is spliced from 3 exons.